UAAAUCGUGAAGUCAAUUAGCAUUAUGCACAUAUGAUCAAAUGCAGAUUAGAUGAGGAAUGUGACAUUUAGCAAGCUAGCUAACUGGGCACAGCUUGUGCUUUAGUUUGCUACGUGAUCCCGGAUCUUUAGGCUGGUUUAUGGAUUGACAUAGACCGGUUGCAGCCCGCAACCCUCUGAUCCUAGGAAGUCUCAAUGCCGGAUGCACUGAUUUUCCACAAAAGCCCACUUCAAUUGCCUCACAAUGGUCCCUUCAGCCACUUUCUCAGCAUGUCUCCACCACCUCCAGCCAGAGACAACACAGUGAACAGAUUGCACGGGCAGGUGUGGACCUGGUUCCACAAUACAGGACGCCAAGAUAAGGAUGAUGGCGAAACAUCUACUAUCAGCAAAUCUCUUUCAUCUCUUCACAAUAUACUUGACUGCACUGGUUCACUGGAAAAACAUGAAACUGAGUACGUUACCACUGAAUGACAAGGUGGUGUUUCCUGUUUUAUGAGUCAAAUGCAUCUUAUUUUUAGAUAAGAGAUCCUUAAGAUGUAUAUUUAUGACUAGUUCAGUCAACUUCACUGAACACCAGAGGGGGACACAAUCCCUCAGCCGAAGGGUUUUUGUGAAGUUCAUAAGAAAUGUGCAAAUAAACAGGUGCAACUGUACAUUUUGUUGCUUGUUCUGUACCUCAUUUUUAAGUUGCUAUUAAAAAAGUCUUCUAAAUCAGAACAAAACAAAGAACACAGAAGGCCUCACUGACAGCAGAAAGAAAAAACACAGCAGUACUAAAAGAGAUCUUCACUUAAGCAAUAACGAUUAUUUAGUCAUAAUUAGGAUUUAUUUAUUUCGAAAAUAUAUAAUGAAGCUUGCAAAUCGUAGAACAGCAUCCCAAUUGUGAAGCAUGGAGGUGGAAGCAUCAUGUAGUGCCACAUUUCUACAGGAAGGACGGGUUUUCUGAAAAUACAAGACUGAGAGCAAAUAAACAGGGUUAACAGCAAUAAACAGAUAGAAAUAAGGCAAAAAUAUGUACCCCAUACACUGUCUGGUUUUCUUUAAAUAAGCAAAAAAAAAA
This is a long non-coding RNA of Oryzias melastigma (Indian medaka), 1062 nucleotides long. RefSeq lists it as uncharacterized. The transcript is spliced from 3 exons. The record is from RefSeq and is a predicted model, not a curated record. Lineage: Eukaryota; Metazoa; Chordata; Actinopteri; Beloniformes; Adrianichthyidae.